This is a long non-coding RNA of Mauremys mutica (yellowpond turtle), 361 nucleotides long. RefSeq lists it as uncharacterized. Lineage: Eukaryota; Metazoa; Chordata; Testudines; Geoemydidae. The transcript has 3 exons. The record is from RefSeq and is a predicted model, not a curated record.
GCUCUAUGCUUUGGCUUCCCUGGACUAGUCGCUGUGGGAAGAACAUGUCAUUUGUAUAUUGUGCGUUUCUUCCUCCUUUCUUCCUAGAUGCAGAACAACAAGAGCCACAUCCCCAAAUUCCUGUUCCAGGCCUUAGAGUACCUGGAAAGCUCACAGACAACAAUCAGACAUUCUGCAGCCCUGUUCAUUGGAAAUACUAUCCACCAUUACUGUGACUUGUUGUCUGAAACAGUGACUGAAGAUGGCAUCUCCCGCCUGUAUGAAGCUUUUCAGGAAGUGCCUUUGACAUGUGACAGGACCACAGGGCACAUCCUCAAUAGAUAUUACAAAUGGCUGCAGAAGCUUGGAAAUCUCAUGUCGG